RNAcentral lists this long non-coding RNA (399 nucleotides) under Parus major (Great Tit). RNAcentral's name for it is "lncRNA (ENSPMJG00000010230.1)". Lineage: Eukaryota; Metazoa; Chordata; Aves; Passeriformes; Paridae. The record is from RNAcentral.
AUCCCAGUGAGGAAGAACCUGCAGCAUCCCUUGGUCAUCUGAUGUCACUCAUUGACUGUACACUGCUAAGCAAAGCAUGCUGUUUGCUGGAAAACACUCUCAGCUUGGGAAUUUGCUCUUUCCACUGAGACACAUCACAACCCAACAGAAGCUGUCUUGAAAGAGAUAAGGCACUUCUAAGAACAAGAACAAACUCUGACCAAGGGCAAGCAAUUUCUGGGGGAAGAAGCUGAGUGAAUGGCUUCUGCAGGGGAAGCACUGGCAUUGAUUACUGGGGCCAUAUGUGUUCAAAAACCACGUCUGUACAGCAGAAAUGGCCAGGAUGAGAGAGAACAAGAGAGAUUCAACCUCAAACCUUGGCGAAGAAGCAUAAGAAAGGAAAGUUGCAAAGUUGUCUAA